AGCGGUAUGGUGUAUGGUUGCGCACCGGGUCUAGUUAAAUAUCUCACAAACCAUUGAGCCCGGAGGACCUUGUUCGAAUCAAGGUAUUGCUU
Non-coding RNA from Mycena polygramma, 92 nucleotides. Lineage: Eukaryota; Fungi; Basidiomycota; Agaricomycetes; Agaricales; Mycenaceae. The record is from the annotation of a GenBank genome assembly.